This 619-nucleotide ribosomal RNA is filed under the name uncultured Lachnospiraceae bacterium. RNAcentral's name for it is "bacterial SSU rRNA". It matches the Rfam family "Bacterial small subunit ribosomal RNA", at positions 67 to 707 of the family's 1533-position model. Lineage: Bacteria; Bacillati; Bacillota; Clostridia; Lachnospirales; Lachnospiraceae. The record is from RNAcentral.
CGGAUGGAAGAGAGUUCAGCUUAGUGGCGAACGGGUGAGUAACACGUGAGCAACCUGCCUUUCAGUGGGGGACAACAUUUGGAAACGAAUGCUAAUACCGCAUAAGACCACAGUGUCGCAUGGCACAGGGGUCAAAGGAUUUAUCCGCUGAAAGAUGGGCUCGCGUCCGAUUAGCUAGAUGGUGAGGUAACGGCCCACCAUGGCAACGAUCGGUAGCCGGACUGAGAGGUUGAACGGCCACAUUGGGACUGAGACACGGCCCAGACUCCUACGGGAGGCAGCAGUGGGGAAUAUUGCACAAUGGGGGAAACCCUGAUGCAGCGACGCCGCGUGGAGGAAGAAGGUCUUCGGAUUGUAAACUCCUGUCCCAGGGGACGAUAAUGACGGUACCCUGGGAGGAAGCACCGGCUAACUACGUGCCAGCAGCCGCGGUAAAACGUAGGGUGCAAGCGUUGUCCGGAAUUACUGGGUGUAAAGGGAGCGCAGGCGGAUUGGCAAGUUGGGAGUGAAAUCUAUGGGCUCAACCCAUAAAUUGCUUUCAAAACUGUCAGUCUUGAGUGGUGUAGAGGUAGGCGGAAUUCCCGGUGUAGCGGUGGAAUGCGUAGAUAUCGGGAGGAAC